UGUAACUCAGUAUGUAGCCGAGAUCUGCACUGCGCCAAAUCCUAGGCUGAUCCUUGCAACUGGGAGCAGCAAGCCCUUAGUGGAGACUCUCUAAAAGCUUUGUGGCAGAAGUGGGCACCAGCAAGCACUUGUAUUCCUAAGUCAGCUGUUGUCGGUGCCUGACAUCUUCCCUCUUCACCUGAGCACAGUGUGAGGACAGCCCGUGUCAUGGUCAACACCACUGGGAGCCCAGAGGAGAUGAGCCAGAUUCACUGUUUAAUGCCAAAUUCCUCCUUAGGUCUGAGAAGGAGUCAAAUAGGAUUUAUCCAUUGACCAAGAAGGGAAGAGACUGAGCACCGUGGUGGUAACCCAGGGAGGGAGCAGAUGCUAGUGGAUAUCCCAGGUGGGUUUCUUUGAAGUGUGACCUCGUGUCAAAAGGCCUUUCUAAACUUAUUUGGGUAUAUAAAGCACUAAGGAAAAGUUAAGACCUCUGAGCUAGAAAACUUCACUUUCCACAUUAAGGUCAGCGGCAUAUGCGGGAAGAGAUGCAAGCCCUCCAGUCCUGGGCAGUCUGUUAUCACAGGGCAGAUGAACUAAAAGAGAGAGCCAGAAAGGCAUAGGAAAAGCAAAAGCUGUGCAUAAAGUCAGCCAAUGAAAACAAAUGACUCAUAAG
Long non-coding RNA from Microcebus murinus (gray mouse lemur), 652 nucleotides. RefSeq lists it as uncharacterized. The record is from RefSeq and is a predicted model, not a curated record. Lineage: Eukaryota; Metazoa; Chordata; Mammalia; Primates; Cheirogaleidae.